This 939-nucleotide ribosomal RNA is filed under the name bacterium enrichment culture clone ZZ_E8. Its description in RNAcentral is "bacterial SSU rRNA". It matches the Rfam family "Bacterial small subunit ribosomal RNA", at positions 28 to 935 of the family's 1533-position model. The record is from RNAcentral.
GACGAACGCUGGCGGCGUGCCUAAUACAUGCAAGUCGAACGGUUCUUUCUUUUGGAAGCUUGCUUCCGAUCGAGAGAAUAGUGGCGAACGGGUGAGUAACACGUGGGUAACCUGCCCAUAAGAGGGGGAUAACAUCCGGAAACGGGUGCUAAUACCGCAUAGUUUUUUUGAUCGCAUGAUCGAGAAAGGAAAGACGGCCUUUGUGCUGUCGCUUAUGGAUGGACCCGCGGCGUAUUAGUUAGUUGGUGAGGUAAUGGCUCACCAAGACGAUGAUACGUAGCCGACCUGAGAGGGUGAUCGGCCACAUUGGGACUGAGACACGGCCCAAACUCCUACGGGAGGCAGCAGUAGGGAAUCUUCCGCAAUGGACGAAAGUCUGACGGAGCAACGCCGCGUGAGUGAAGAAGGUUUUCGGAUCGUAAAACUCUGUUGUCAGAGAAGAACAAGUCGGAGAGUAACUGCUCCGGCCUUGACGGUAUCUGACCAGAAAGCCACGGCUAACUACGUGCCAGCAGCCGCGGUAAUACGUAGGUGGCAAGCGUUGUCCGGAUUUAUUGGGCGUAAAGCGAGCGCAGGCGGUUCCUUAAGUCUGAUGUGAAAGCCCACGGCUCAACCGUGGAAGGUCAUUGGAAACUGGGGAACUUGAGUGCAGAAGAGGAGAGUGGAAUUCCAUGUGUAGCGGUGAAAUGCGUAGAUAUAUGGAGGAACACCAGUGGCGAAGGCGACUCUCUGGUCUGUAACUGACGCUGANGCUCGAAAGCGUGGGGAGCAAACAGGAUUAGAUACCCUGGUAGUCCACGCCGUAAACGAUGAGUGCUAAGUGUUGGGAGGGUUUCCACCCUUCAGUGCUGCAGCUAACGCAUUAAGCACUCCGCCUGGGGAGUACGGGCCGCAAGGCUGAAACUCAAAGGAAUUGACGGGGACCNGCACAAGCGGNGG